This 497-nucleotide unclassified non-coding RNA is filed under the name uncultured Clavulina. RNAcentral's name for it is "sequence contains ITS1, 5.8S rRNA gene, ITS2". The stretch from base 85 to 238 matches the Rfam family "5.8S ribosomal RNA". Lineage: Eukaryota; Fungi; Basidiomycota; Agaricomycetes; Cantharellales; Hydnaceae. The record is from RNAcentral.
UGAUUUUCUCGCAUUCCCUUAAAUCAUUAUACGCUGUUAACAAUGAUGAACGUGCUCUGUGCCGCAAGGCUAUUAAUAUAAUACAACUUUUAACAACGGAUCUCUUGGCUCUCGCAUCGAUGAAGAACGCAGCGAAAUGCGAUAAGUAAUGUGAAUUGCAGAAUUCAGUGAAUCAUCGAAUCUUUGAACGCACCUUGCGCUCCCUGGUAUUCCGGGGAGCACGCCUGUUCGAGUGUCGCGAAAUUUCUCAAGCUUGGAUGGAUUUUUUGUCCGUCCUUAGCCUUGGUUGUUGGGCUUUGCCGUGUCCUUCAUUGGUACGGCUGGCCUUAAAAGCAUCAGCUGAUCCUCGUGUGGCACUGGUUCUACUCAGCGUGAUAACAGUCUGAUCGCUGAGGACAUCUUUUGGGAUGGCCAGCUCUCAUUUGGGUUGCUUCUAAACUUGGUUUCACAGAUUGUACAAUCUGUGUUCCACAUUUCAGCUUUGACCUCGAAUCAGG